Molecule: unclassified non-coding RNA, 90 nt
Filed under: Pseudomonas migulae
Lineage: Bacteria; Pseudomonadati; Pseudomonadota; Gammaproteobacteria; Pseudomonadales; Pseudomonadaceae
Source: RNAcentral
UGUGGGAGCGGGCUUGCCCGCGAUGAGGCCGGCACAUCCAACAUCUUUGUUAACUGACAGUCCGCUAUCGCGGGCAAGCCCGCUCCCACA